UGAAAAGCAGAUUAAGAAAAUGCACGGCAGACACUAGCCGGCUCUGGCCAGAAUGGUUAGAUUUGGUGAAACUCUAUAUGAGGAUCACCCCGACAGCUGAUGGUCUAACACCUUUUGAAAUAAUUCAUGGGAGAGCUUACAGAUUGCCUCUGUUUGCUCCAGACUUACAAAAAGCUGAUGAAGAACAGACAUUAGCAGAUUAUAUGAUCAGGACCCUUAAACUGAAGGAGGUGUCCAGUGCAAAUUUACUGCCUUUUUGAUUCUCUUCCUGCACAGGAGGCCGCUCCGAUCGAGCCAGGUGACUGGGUCUACAUAAAAGUCAACAGCUGUAAAGAUUGCUGAAAGACCCAGCUGGAUACAUCUCAGUCACUGUAAGCUGCAGAGAGUGUUAAACCCCUAAAGUUGGAGUAGAGAGGAAGGAGAGCUCUUUUGAGAGCUUCCGGGCUACAAAGGGGAGCUACAUUAUAGUUGUAGUUCGUCUCAAACCCGGUGAAGAAACGCUAAGAUUCUCACUCCUUUAGUUUGGGGGUUCUGACAUCUCUAUACGUCGAGCAGCAAUGGGGACUCCAUAUGACAGAUGGACUUUUUGCUGCGCUGUGACUGUUGUAUGUUUGAUGUUUGGUGAAGGAAACGAGCCUGAGUUCCACCCACAUGACUACAGUACCAAUCUUUGGCUGAAAACUGAUGAACAGAACUGCUUAUGAGGGACAUGCUGUGAACUGCUACGUGUGUGCGCAACUGCCAGUUUCCAUACACAACUCAGGUCUCCGACCAGGUAACAUUGCUGACGACAAACAGAUGUGUCUCUAUGUUCUAAGCACCAGACCGCGGCGCAUCCCACCACCAAGGGGAGACAGACCACGUGAGAAGGACUAUUCUGCUGACCUCCGGAUGGGAGAGGCAGUGCAAGGACUGUUUCAAUUUUUAAAUUGUUCACUGGCAGACGAUGUACUUCCUUUUCGUCAUCUCAACAAACUGGACGUUGCCCUGGCACUUGUGUAACAGAGUUUACACCUACUGCGAACCGACACAGGAUUUCAUCGACUGCACAGCCUGCAGGGGUCAAAGGGCGACUCCACACUGCAAAGUCUGGAAGGAAAACCCAGAUUGUCACAACCUGCUUCAGGAGAGGAGUUUCAACAUCACGCAUAAGACUAAGAGGAGACAGAUGACAACACUGUGUAGCGCCAUAAUGCCAGGAGAUUAUGGCUCUCAGAUAUUAGCAGACUGGAAAGCACAAAAUGAUCUACACACCCGCUCCAAGCGAACAGCUAUGUCAGAGGUCAAAAGAUGGGGAGGCCUAACAAUACAUACUGGAGUUCCAUGGGAAUUCAGGAUUUGGAACGGCGGAGAAAAAAUUCAUGCAAGGUCUUUUUCCGUGGGUUGGUCUAGGAGAGAUUUGAUACCAUGUUUGAGAUAAACAGGUACGGAUUAUUACGACUGAUCAACAUCACAUACCAGCUGGCCAAUGGCACCAUGAAAGAACUGACUGAACUGAGAAACAUGGUUAUGCAAAACCGUGUUGUCCUGGACUUUCUCACUGCCCCUCAGGGAGGGGUCUGCAAAAUCAUUGGCCCAACGUGCUGUACUUUUGUGCCUGAUGAAACAGGAAAUGGAGGAAUUAUUUCUGACGCUCUAUACGAGCUAGAAGAUUUAAAACAGUAUGUGGAAAGUGGAACACGCGGCUCAUCCUCUUUUGAUUUGUUUUCAUGGCUCACUGCUGGACCAUGGUGGUCCUUGCUGUUAAAGCUUGUGACACCUAUUCUGAUUGUGUUAAUUCUGUUCUGCCUAUUUACGGGUUGCAUUAUUCCUUGUCUACGAAAUAUGAUGUAUAAAACAAUUAAUACGACUGUUAUCAACUAUCAGCUGACAAAGGCAUCUUAUGAAACAACUGAAGAUGACUUGUUCCAAGUUUCUGACGAUUUUCUGAACAAUCAUGAAUUUCUGUAAUCAAUAAACAGAUGAAUUCAUUUGCUGAAUGACUCCAACACCGAAAAUGUGGGAACAAGUGAUGUUUAGGAUGAGAAAACUGCAUUUGAUUUUUUACUGUUUAUUCUUUGUUUUUUCAUGUAUUUCAUUAUAUAACUUUUAUUCAUUAUGUAUUCUCUGUGUUUAGAUUAGUUUUUAUUAUUUUCUUUUAUUUUCUUUUCUAUAUUUGGCUUCUGCAUAGCAGUUUAUACACAUAGUAAAAUGAUAAAAAGGGGGGAAUGUUAGAUAUUUUUUAUUAUUAUCAUUUUGCUGUUACUUUAGUUUAUAUUCAGUCUAAAGUAUUAUUGUGAUUUAGUAUAAACUGACCUGGAGGUUAUGACUGUCUUCAUGCGAGAUAGUAAAACUUUAUGGUUCUCAGACCCUAAAGUUUUCUCUGGUGUUUAUCUACCCGGUCUUAGGUGACAGUUUGACCCAGAGCUGAACUGGGCUCAGAUUGUAAAUUAGAUAUCACACCUGGAACUGAGUUGUUGGUCUGUUUAUGUUAAAUGUUUUACGACCUCUGUUGUUUGAUGCUUUGACAAUAAAGAGGGAGCUCACGUGAAAGCAGAUCAGAACUCUCUAUUGACCAGCCCGGAGGAGCUGUUGAUCGGGAUUUCUCCUUCUGCAGAAGCCUGACCAUAUUUAAUUCA
Long non-coding RNA from Poeciliopsis prolifica (blackstripe livebearer), 2618 nucleotides. RefSeq lists it as uncharacterized. The record is from RefSeq and is a predicted model, not a curated record. The transcript is spliced from 2 exons. NCBI's taxonomy places the organism in Eukaryota, Metazoa, Chordata, Actinopteri, Cyprinodontiformes, Poeciliidae.